Molecule: long non-coding RNA, 1621 nt
Organism: Macaca mulatta (Rhesus monkey)
Lineage: Eukaryota; Metazoa; Chordata; Mammalia; Primates; Cercopithecidae
Source: RefSeq, a predicted model, not a curated record
CCACCAGGGAUCAUUUCCUGGGAUGUUUUAAAAAUAAUUUAUUUCUAGAAAAGUCUUUCAUCAUUUUCCUUCAGGUCACGGAGGCUGAGAUGGCUGACGGCACAGGUGGCUGUGGGCUGAUGUGUCACUUUUGACCUCAAACUGAGGCAGCAGGGGGACGAAGUGGCCGCGAGGCACAGUAUCUGGCAUAUGUGAGUGGCUUCAUGAUGGAGAGAGUGGAUUUGUCACGAAAGUGAGUUCAGCCAUUCCUUGCUGUCUCACAUGCCACCUCUUGACAUGGGAUGCCCCCGCCAUGGGAUGCCCUCGCCAUGGGAUGCCCUCGCCAUGGGAUGACAGCAAGAAGGCCCUUGCUUGAGUGAGCCCCUCCAUCUUUGGCUCUCCGGCCUCCAGGACUGUUAGAAAUACAUCUCUGUUCUUUGUAAAUUACCCAGGCUGUGGUACUCUGUUAUGGCAACACAAAACAGACUCAAGACACCACUACGUGGAUGAAGAAACAGGCCCAAGAGGAAGCACCAGCUGGCCCAGAUGCUUCUCAUCUUUAGAGCUGAGCUGCAGGCUGGAGACCUGGAAGGCCCUCGCAGCACCUGCUCUCACCCUCUCCCCUCACGAAAGCACAGGAACUUGGGUUUGGAGCCUAUGAAAAGGGCUGGAAUCUGACUCUGCUCUGUGACCCUGGGCAAGUCACUGCCCCUCUCUGGGCUUCAGUUUCCUCCUUGGUAACACAGAAUGAUUAUACCUACCCCUUGGGUUUGUUGACCUGAAUCUACCUCUGAGUCAUUGCCUUUCCUUCUUGCUGCAGCCACACUGGCCCCUUGAUGGUUCCUUGAACACAACAAGCCCUUGCCCACCUCAGGGCCUUUGCACGUGCAGUGCCAGAUGCCUGGAAUGCCCUUCCUUCCCAUCUCCCCAUGGCCGGUUCAUUCUCGUCUUUCUUGGCUCAAAUGUUACCUCCCCAACCUAGAUAGCACCCCUGCCACCUCUUCAGCCUGUCUUACUCUUCCUCAAGCACUUCUGGAGGUAUCUUGCUAUUUAUCUUGUUUGUAUCUUUUUCAGCUCCAUGAGGGCAGGACAUCUUGUCUGUUUCAUUCACAAUGUGUUCCCAGAGCUCAGCACAGUGUCAGGCACACACUAGGUGCUUAAGAAACAACUGCUUCCUCUACCUCUUCCCCUGCCAGCCCCAAGUUCAGCUAACUGGCUGUGUGACCCUGGGGAUUGCUUUUCACCUCUCUGGUCCCUUAUUCUCCCUUGUGGACAAAGGACGGCCUGGGCAUGAGUUUCUUCAAGGACUCAGGUAGCAAUAAAAUUCCUGGGACCCCAGCUUCAUUAUCUCCCCAGGCAAUGAGGUAGAGAGGAAGAAGGCAGGUGAGCAAGGACCAGCCUCCGCCACGCAGACACCCUCUUUCCGGCUUCUCUGUCCUCCCACUUUGCCCUGGGUUUGUGGACUUACUCUGGGCAGAUCUCCAUGACCAGCCACCCCCUCCCUUGGCAUGUCUGUCAGCACCCUUGGGGGAAAGAAUUUGGAAAGGGGAGGGAGAAAAAGAAAGCAGGGUGCGAGAGGAUGGUUCCCACACCUGUGUAAAUAAUUUGUCAUCUUAAAAUGCUCAAGUAUGCUCACCUUUAA